This 202-nucleotide unclassified non-coding RNA is filed under the name Cortinarius alpinus. RNAcentral describes it as "partial internal transcribed spacer 2". RNAcentral also lists the same sequence under 1 other name. The record is from RNAcentral. Lineage: Eukaryota; Fungi; Basidiomycota; Agaricomycetes; Agaricales; Cortinariaceae.
AUAUAUCAACCUCUUUAAAUUUUGAGAGUGUUUGGAUGUGGGGGUGUUAUUUUGCUGGCCUUCUCCAAGGUCAGCUCCCCUGAAAUGUAUUAGCGGAACAAUUUGUUGACCGUUCAUUGGUGUGAUAGCAUAUCUACGCUAUUGACGUGAAGCAAGUUCAGCUUAUAACAGUCCAUUGACUUGGACAAUUCUCUAUUUAUUA